AUUUAAAAUCUGGCGUCUUUCAGGCGUCCGAGUUGUAAUCUAUAGAGGCGUUUUCCGCGCCGGACCGCGUCCAAGUCUCUUGGAAUAGAGUAUCAAAGAGGGUGACAAUCCCGUACUUGACGCGACAACCGGUGCUCUGUGAUACGUUCUCAAUGAGUCGAGUUGUUUGGGAAUGCAGCUCUAAAUGGGUGGUAAAUUCCAUCUAAGGCUAAAUAUUGGCGAGAGACCGAUAGCGAACAAGUACCGUGAGGGAAAGAUGAAAAGCACUUUGGAAAGAGAGUUAAACAGCACGUGAAAUUGUUAAAAGGGAAACGAUUGAAGUCAGUCGUGUGAAAGGUAUUCAGCCGUCUCUGGCGGUGUAUUUGCCUUUCACGGGUCAACAUCAGUUUGAUCCGGUAGAAAAAGGCGGGAGGAAGGUGGCACCCUCGGGUGUGUUAUAGCCUCCUGUCAUAUGUGCCGGACCAGACUGAGGAACGCAGCUUGCCGCAAGGCCGGGGUUCGCCCACGUACAAGCUUAGGAUGUUGACAUAAUGGCUUUAAACGACCCGUCUGA
Molecule: ribosomal RNA, 553 nt
Filed under: Vishniacozyma victoriae
Lineage: Eukaryota; Fungi; Basidiomycota; Tremellomycetes; Tremellales; Bulleribasidiaceae
Description: LSU rRNA
Rfam family: Eukaryotic large subunit ribosomal RNA
Source: RNAcentral